This 332-nucleotide long non-coding RNA is filed under the name Olea europaea (common olive). Its description in RNAcentral is "long non-coding RNA (OEUR_LNC010693)". The record is from RNAcentral. Lineage: Eukaryota; Viridiplantae; Streptophyta; Magnoliopsida; Lamiales; Oleaceae.
UCUACUUCUAGAUCUGUUAAGGAAUUGGAGAUGAUCACUGGAAGUGUGGAUGAUUCUCCUAAAUAGGCGUACCUUAAAUGAGGUGAAAGUGUUUUCAAAUCAAGCGUAGGGGCUUUUUGAUGAGAUGGAAGAGGUAUUGAAGAUGUCUUUUCCAACUCCUCAUAAUAUGGUACCCUCUUGAAGGUGCGGAAAGGUGUAGCUUCCAAGUACUUUGUCAUACCUUCAACAUCGGGGUCACCAUCACUUAUAUCAGAAGAACUUACUAGGCAUCUCUCAAGAGUGUCGUCAGAACGCCCAUAAAGAGAGUCGGCAACCAAAUGAUCAAUCAUAUC